Molecule: long non-coding RNA, 11136 nt
Organism: Dermacentor albipictus
Lineage: Eukaryota; Metazoa; Arthropoda; Arachnida; Ixodida; Ixodidae
Source: RefSeq, a predicted model, not a curated record
GAUAAUAGGAGAAAAUGUAUAGGGGAAAUUCCCAAUGUGUAGGUCAGUUAAAAGAGGCAAAAGAAAUUUGCGAAGUUCAGCAAGGCCUGCUAAGAUGUCUUGAGAAGGGGGAAAUUAAUUCAAGAACUAUCUCCAUAAACUUUAAUUAUGAUUGUGAACUGAAACUUUGCACUGGUAUCACUGGAUUCCCCGUAUACAAUUGACGUGGGUAAUAAUAAUUGCUUUGUAAGAUCGUAAAUAUUUUUUGGUGCUGCUGCCACAGAAGGCGAGAUGCAGCUGCACGCAUUUGUGGUGGUGGAGGAGAGAUCAGUAGAACAAAAGAAUGUGUCAUGAGAACAAAAUUAUGUCUGGUGGGGUCCAGUGCUUCUCGGUGACAUGAUCUUUGAAGGAAGGUGUGACACACCACAGUUCAAGUCCAUUAAUUCAACCUUGAACAGACCCAACAGAAUUGGUUGACUUAUUCGGGGGGUAGAAUUGAAAGUAAAGGCAGGAAAAAAAUUAUGUCGGAACAGACCCAGAUAUGUUUGGCUAAGUGGUUAUACACUGUGGGUUGCCGUUUUUGCCCAAAAUGUUGCUCAAGACACCAAUGUACUUAUGUGUAUCCUCAACAUAAGCCUCAUGCCUAACAAAUAGUUCUGAAGCAUCCACUCUGGUCUCGAUAUCUGCUACGCUUGGACACACAGUGGUGCCAUCAGCGAUUCAUUGCUAUUCUCGUUCUUGCUGCCAAUCAUGCUACCGGUCACAGAAUACAAAAUCGCAUUGGUUAUAAAAGGAACGCCACUCCAGAGUCGGCAUAUAUAAACUCCUCGAUGAAAACCUUUCCGAGGGCUGGGUGAAAAUUGUUGUCUUUGGUGAAAGAUUGGGUUUUCAGUCUCCUUUUGAUACAUUUUCUGAAACUACUUGCAAUAGUCCCUGGCUUAACGAACUCCCAUGCACAGGCAGCGGUUUGCAUAGCAGUGAUUAACUUCGUAUUCUUUGUUGUUUUAGAUGCACAUGAUCAUUUCCUGAAGAAUAGUCGCCUUGUGCAAGACAUUCAAGUUCCUUUUUUCUCUCUGGUCUAGUGGUUACAUGAUUGCUGUUAGGUCAGGUGGAAGGAACCUGAGGCGUAUUGCUGUCAGCUCUUCCAUGUCAAUGUGUACACAUCAGGUUAUUGACAAUGAAAACUGCACUUUAUGUAUGGAUUUAUGACCCAGUUUAAUAAUACAUUUGUAGAAAAGUUCAGCUGUCAUUCAAGCUUUCAAGUCCACAACAUAGUCAAUUGGAAGUGUUUUCACUCCUUUGGAGCACUGUGGCCUGGAAACCUUCCGUAGAACGAGCAAGUGGCAUUUCUUUGUGUUCGUCAUCCUGGCAUCAAGCAGCACAGUUAGUCGCUCCUUGCUUCCUUUUUCACCAACACAUUUGUCAUUCUUGAAGGGGCCCUGAACCACCUCUCGGGCUUGGCGAAACAACAUAGUCUGUGGGUAGCAUAGGCUGCUGUGCACAUCUCAGCCAAGUUUUGCUGUUGUACGCGGUGUGUGGAGCACUGUACGCGGUGUGUGGGCUUGUGGCCACAAGUCCACUGGCUAAGCGCACUGCGGCUUGCUGAGGACAGCCGCAUUUGGCUUAAGUUUGGCGCAUUGUAGGCACCAAAAGGAAGUUGUGGCAUCUACGCAUUAACAUCCAAAAUGAAAUUUGAACUGCGCACCUCGGUGGCAUUUAGAAGGUGGAGCGUUAUGGGCACGCUCCACUCUGCCAUAGCCUUUGCAGUGCAAGGAAUUGAAGAAGGAACGGGAGCACAGUGGAGGCGUGUUUGAUUUCUAAUGACUCCACUUCUGCUGAAUGCAUCAAAGUACUUUUUGCAGCAACAUAUUUUCGAAAUAGCCUAUUUUCACUUCAAAUGCCUUUCUACACUUCGAUAAAAAGGGGUUCAGGGCCCCUUUAUAUGCUAUUGUUUUCUUUGGUAGCAUCCUGUAAUAAAGGGCACUUUCAUCAGCAUUAAAUAUGUCCUUUAGACCUCUCAGAAUCAGUGUUCGUGCGUUUUGCUGCAUACUGGCUUGAACGUCACUUUAUGCCAGCUUUUAAACAGAGGUAGCCAGUUAUUUUAAUCAUCAAAGUCUUGAGUGUUUAGCAUGGCUGCAAAUUCCUGAGCAUUUUCACUGAUUAGAGGACUGCAUGGGGACUAACUUUGACUCUACAUUUUGCUAGUCCAGAACUGCUUCAUCAUUGAGGUGUGCUGAAGUUCACAUCCACUUUCUGUCCCUAUUAAAGUUAUGCUUUUGGUGAGCUUCAAGAAUCUUCUCUUUGUUGGCAAUGAACGUUACAAGGGUACUCUUCCUUAUGCCAUUCUUUUCGGCAGUCUGCCUUCUUGCAAGCAUGCCUUGGCAAUAUCACCACUUUGGUACUAAUAGAAAGCACUGUGUACCUUCAAGGUGUUGCCAUUCUGCACUGAUGCUGUUUCACUGGCUGAUUGCUACAUGUGACUUGAAAUGUCCCGUCUUGUCACACUUAACAAACUGGACUACGUGGAAUGCUUCAAUAACAUAACGACCAUGUGAAACCAAUAGUGAAUUGCAGAUAAAACAGCCAAAUCCACCUACCACAUUAGAGGGGCCUUAUUUUGCAUUGCAUUGUGGCACCAACUUGCAGACUCGGAGAGAUGCAAAAUGGCGAACAUCCAGCUGCUGCAAUGGCAGACGCACUUCAUGAAGCGAGUUGAAAUGUUUUCUUUUUAUCAGCCACUUUAGUGGUCUUCAUUUUGCAUCAAAGGAUGCUUUCUAGGCAGGACACAUGCCAACAAGGAUGAGUUAUCACUGUAGGAUGGGCUUUUGUAUUGGCAAGGCUGUGUGAUCGACAACUGAGUGAAGACAUCACACCGACAAUGCAAUUGCUGCAAUGCCUGCAUUUGCAUAUUUAGUCACACUUAUAGAAAUCAUGAAACAUAAUUUAAAAGUUGAAAUGUUUGGACUUCUACUUUGGACUUCUACAUCUGAGAGUAGCUUUCUUGACGAGACUUUUCGGCUGCCAGGGUGGCACAAGGUGCAAUCGCUUACUAGUCAAGUUUCAAUUAUCUGCUGUAGUUCAAUUUCAGGAUUGAAAUAACAAAAGUCUUCGCUCAUAGAAAUGCUUGGGUGCUGGCCAGCAUUUUCCAUUGAAUUCGAAUUAAUCGAAUAAUUUAAUUAGUUGGAGUGGAAUUAACAGAUGUGUACUGUAGUACCGUGGCUUUAAAAGAGACUGUGUUGGCUGCUGUUGCCUGUGUUAAGGGGCAAACUGUGACAUGGAGGAUAGGUACAGUGCUUGCCUGACAAAACUGGCACAAUAUUUGUGGCACUUGCACAUUAACUUCGAUAUUUUGUUAGCUUUGCUGGUUUUUAGUCAAUUAUUCUGCAGUCACAUUGGUCUGCUAGGAAUUUCUCAUUUGUUCUUACCAUGGGUUGAGCAAGGAUCAGGAGUCAUGUAUUUUCGGUCAUCCAUGAUGCGUGUAGGAUAAGUUGGUUAUAUUUUAAUGACUCCAGCUUCUACUUUGAUUGUUUAACCACCAGGAAUAUGUGGCAAGGCUGUCAUGCACAUAUUGCCUUGCAUUUACAUUUCUUGGGUGCAGGUACUGGGCAUGACAGCAUUAAAAAGCACUGUGUAAGAGAACCAGCCAUAAUGAAAUGAUCAUUAUCCUAAAAGGUGCUCUUGAGGUGUUCACUACCAAAAAAAUCUAGGCAUGAGUCUCAUUUUAACUACAAUCGAGCCCACUUAUAACAAUCUCAGUAAUAAAGAAUGCUCGGAUAUUAUGAACAAACACACUGCAACUGUAACAACUUGCUAUUGGGUAGUGGUGCCGUGUCCUAGACAAUGAAUUCGAUACAUGGACCCAGAACUCUGUUGUAACGAACUCACAAGCAUAUGUCAUGUGCCAAGGAAAGCAUCGCUUUGCUUUUUACUGUGCAUAGCCCACUGAGGUACAAUCUUCUAAGUAGCAUACUCACGAAGCUGAUAGUGAAGCUAACACAAAGCACACAACCUUGAGGGUCUGUUUUAAGCUUCACUUCAUUUUUAUUAUAUUCAAAUGCUUGUCAGCUUCCUCGGUAACUUAAAGUUUUAAUCUACACACUGUCUUUUGAAUUUUUGUAACUUUCAGCUUGUAUGAAGAACACACUAUAAUGCUCAAGAAAAAUGGACUGGAGUGAAUGAACCUCAAAGCUUGAUUUUACACCCUUUCAAUCUUUUUCAUUAGUUGUUGGUAAGGGCUUUAGAUAAAGUCGGAGUGCUCUAGUUCCAGUCUUGUGAGAGUUUUGUACACAGUAAGUUUUGCUGUCAGUGAUGUAUGAAUGUAGCUUAUGUUUUAGAAAUGCUAGCUUUUUUAACUUGCUGCUAUGUUUGUUAUCAAUUUGCAGCUUCCAGCCUAGAUAGUUCACUAGUGUACUUUUUACUUAUUGAUUUUCACAUGUUUUCUAUAAUUAUUCAUUUUAUUCCUCAGUGUAACUUCUGUCUGCUGUGCACUUAUCUUACUUAUGAUGAAAACGGGGAGCUCCCACCACCAACUUCGAACACAAGCCCAAAUGCUUAUAUAUUGCUGAGGUGCUGAGUUUUCACCUGAAGCUUCAGUGAUAAAUGAUCGCAUGUCAUCUAUAAACUGCCUAAAAACUGUGCUUAUUGAUAAACAUUGAAAAAAGAAACUUCAGUUGCUGACUCUUUUUGACAAACAUUAGUUUCAUUCUUUGCCUUCUUUUUACGCAGUCCACUUAUUAUGAACAUUUGGAAGUAGUGAACACAUCCUUAAUAACAAUGAUAUUGAUUGUAAAUGGGCUCGACUGUAAACAGAACGAGUGAGACAGUGUAAAAAUGUUCUGGCUCAAAAGUGUGAGUGCAGGUAUUAAAACAGGCAGUUCAUCAUGUUCCCAGGUGAUAAAUCUAUUACCUCCCACGGUGCCAUUAAAAAAUUUAACAAACCUGUUACUCUGUGCCACUGGCUAGCUGUAUGUUAUUUGGGUGAGGCUGAUCAGAUGUCAAUGUAUGACUCGUCGGCAGCAAAGAGGAACAAAUGCAGGGUUGUGCAACCUGCAAGUUACUUUCCGUAGGACAGAUUUGUUGCCUACCCGGUUUAUCUAGGAACCUGUUCAGAGGUGGGAGCACAUUGUGUAUGUGUUCUUUUAAGUAUGCAAUCCUGCCGGCAACUUUGUGUGGUUGUUUCUAAGACGUCCUACCAUGCAGUUGAACAAAGCUGUCAGCAGCCGUAGCUCAGCAGCUAGGGGUGCUGAGCUACUAAGAAAUUGUGCUAUAAUUGGUUGGCGACUGUAUUUGUAUUCUUUUGGAAAAACUUUUGCGCUAAACUGGGAGCAAAUGAAAGCUUUUUAAAAUCUUGGUGUCACUACGACAAUCGUAAGCAAGCAAAAGAAAUGUUUAAUUUGAUAAAAUUGUAAGUGAUGGCAGAUAUGUCAAUCUCAAGAGGUUUAACUUCCCUAUCCUGAUAUCCGAGAUGUUACACAGCCAUGUUCAUGAGUUGGUGUGAGAAUAGCAGAUUCUGUUUAUCCAGCACAAGUGCAGUAGCACCUCAUUGAUAUGAUCUGGUUAAGUACAAUUUUCCGGUGCCAACAGUUGCGAUCAAGAACACUAAAAAUGACCCAAUACAUUUACACUGCUUUUUCACCAGUUCAUAUAUUUCCAAAGAACACUGAUCUUUCAGCACCAAUGUUCAGUACAUUGCCCAAGUGCGAUCGUACGAUACAUUUUCUGGCCGCUAGAUCCCCUGUAAACAAGAAAAGGCGGCGCACACAAUAUAUAAGAGUAGCCACCCAGUACAGCAGCUUCCAGGCAAUACUCGCCUGCCCAUCUCGUGUGAAAACACCGGCGUGCACUCAGUUUCUUAUCCAGCAAAUCUCCUCCCAAGUUGUCGCAGGCUGCAUUGUGAUAAACAUCUUCACCUAUCUGUUUCACAUUGCGUGGGGAACAGUGCUGUUGGAAAUGUACUGUAUGCAUUUAAUAGCUGCAUGCAAUAAGAAAAUUACUACAUGCAUCUCGGGUCACUUAGGCCCCACCAGCUUGGUGCACGUGAGCAUCUUGCGCCGAGUGGGCAUGUCAAAACUUCCAACCAGAACACCUCACUCGAAGAAGCCGUUGACCCAGGCCAUAAUUGAGGAGGGCAAACGUAAACUUGCUCAAGCUGUAAAAACAACAACCCUGCCAUCAGCUCGGUCCGCCUUGGUGCACCAUGCUGUGCAACGCUUCACAUUAUGUAGAUGUGAACUACAGUUGAGCUUGUGAAAUCUUUUAGUGGCUUCGGAUUUAUGUUUUCCUGGUCGAUAAGGUGGUUCUAGGGUUAUUUUUUUUUCUAAAACGUAUGAAUGAAGUUCUACUUCAUUCAUACUUCAUUCAUAACUGUUGCAUUCUGCUUUGAUGCAGCAACACCUAUAGAGUAGAACUGCUCUAAUACGUUUUUCGCAGGAUUGUGGGGAGAAAAAGACGUAAUAGCCUGGUAAUGUAUUAUGGGAACAUGCUGUUAAAAUCAUGCGAACAUACUGUAGAACCUCGAUAAAUAGAACCUCAAGGGACCAAAGAAAUAGGUUCCAUUUAACAGGAGUUUCAAUUACUGAGAAAGAUGAGUAAGGAUGCAGCACUGUGUGCAUACGCCUUUUUAAUACCGUUUUAAGGAAUUAUAAGCACCAGGAGGUGAAUGUAGCAAUAGGUUUUCGGAAAGCGGAGAAAAUUACAUAGGGUGUUGGCACAGCAUUCACAAAAUUUAUUAUGCAGCUACUAGUCACUGUUCAUUAAAAAAUGCAUCAAUUCUUGCUUGCUUCAAUCUUUGAAGGGAAAUAGUGCUCCCUAUAAAACACAAGCUUUGCACAAACAUUUCAGAUCCUGGUUCUUUCUGAAAAAUACUCUCGAGUCUGCAAAGCUAAUUCUGCACAUUAAAGUAUGGUAGCUUCUUCUGUGGUGGGUACCUCUUCAGAUGUCUCCUCUUGUUCAUCUGCUUCAUCGCAGACCUCUGCAGCAGUGCUUUCUACUUGUUAUCUGGUUAAGAAGUUGUAAGUUCACUGUCAAUGUACGCAUGCUUGUCAAAAUUCAGUGGGAAUUCCCUUAUAGUCUAAUAAGCCCUGCUUCUAAGUGGCAUCAUCUUUACUGUCACAUUCAAGCAAAUCCUGCACGUCGGAAGUCUAGACCUUCAAAGAAAAUCCUGCAUGCCAUAAGCAAUUUGCUAUGGUACUUGCCGUCAGUUGCCUCCAGGCGUUGUCAAUGAGGUAAAUGGCACGAACAGUGUCCAGCUUGUAUUCUUUGUCCUGGUUCAUGCAUACCAGCAUCCUCUGCAGGAGACAGUUGCAUCGUGAUGGACUGUUUUCAGCAUUUUGGUUCUAUUUUCAGUUCCGUUUACAGGGUAGUGAGGAAGUUUUGGUUCCCAUUACCAAAAGCUUUUUUUUUUUAUAUUCUUUAAAUACAAAACCAACCUAUUGAGAGGUGAUUGUUUCAGUUAGGUGAUUUCUGUUUACUGAGAUUUUACUGUACUGCUAAAUAUUAACAGAGACAUGCAUUGGCUCACAUUGCAAAGGAUUUAUUCAGCAGUCAAGUUCUGAGAGAAUUUCUUAUUAAAGCUCAGUGUUUUUGCCAUAUGGUAGCCUGCAUUGCCGAUAUGGUCAACGUAACUUUUCCAGCAUGUCCAGCACUGUGACAGCGUUUAACAAAACGACCUACCAUGUGGGAGUGAUGACAUAUCAAAUGGAAUUCUAAUAGUGUACGGCUGUCUAUGUGCUUUUUACCGGGACUGGACUUCAACGACAUUAUACCCAGGAAGGCGUAUGGGCGGAGAAUGCAUCAGUGGGGCUGUACUUUAGCUAUAUUUAGUGGUGCAUUGACCUAAGUUGGAACAUAGCAUCCUAGGGCUAGCCAGAUGUGGUUGCCUUGCAAGCCAGGGUUGAUAAAUUAACAACCUUUUACUGUAUUUCAAUACGAAUACUAAUGGUUGAAUUCUGUUUAGUGUGCUACAUCAAACUUGUAUUAUAAUUAGCGGUAUCUGUGUGGCCACUCUACUCUAAGCUUCAAAAACUUCACACACCUGCGUAUUUUGUCAAGUAAGGCAGUUGGGGAACUCAUGCCUUUCUUUUAAACUGUACAUUAUUGUUGCAAGCCACAGGUUUAUUUUGUAAUGAAAAAUUGAUAAUGUGAGCUGUCAAGAGUUGUCAUUUUGUGCUUAUGGCUGUAUGUUGUCAUUUGUGUCCAAGUUGUUCUUUAAUUUUACUUGGACAUUAAUUGACCUUGUGGACAAAACCAAUUUUUGGCUUGCUGGACAUCUUGUGGUUAAUGUACUGGAACGGGACCAUGUUGACUUUACACUUUGUAACCUUGACCACACCAUUUCAACUAACAGAAGGGUGCUUUAUGCGCGAGAUCCUCUUAUAACUGUUUAGUUGUCUGGUUUCAGAAUGGUUGAUUAGUAGGCCUUGGAGGCUGCCCUACAGCAGAACAUUUCCCAUUGGCCCCUGUUUUACCAGAUGCUUUACCAAAUGUUUUACCCUUUGAAGAAAAUCCGUGGGUGGUUGCUCCUUCUGCUAAUGUUAUUUGAUAGAUGUGUUUGUCUCUGCCUUUUGAAGGCAUCCAAAGCAGCUCCGUUCAGGACUGCUUAUAUAUGUGACCCUGUGUGCAGUGCAGAAAAAGACACUUUGCAUUUACUGAUGCACAGGGCUUGAGUAAUUUAGUCUUUUCGUCGGGCAUGGUUAAAAUGACUUCCAUGAGUGGCAGUUUGACAGCAUGCCUCGCUACAUUAGGUCUUUGGAGAAGACCUUGUAGUCAUUCUCACAUGACCAACACAUGGCAUUUAUAUAUUUAAAUGAGCUCUACUCACUGCUCUUCUCGGUGAUUGGGUUUGUGUGAGAGAGUGAGUUUAAUGUUGGAAAGAAUUGGAAGACCACAUCGGGGCAUUGGUUUUCAUUGCAAGCAGUUUCAUGUUCUUGUUUGCUUCAUGUGAACCUGGCAUUAGCCUUUCUUAGGCAUAUCACAACCUUAACGAAACUACAGUCUACCAUUACCAAGACUUCUUAAAUUUAAGCACACUCUUGGACUAUAGUACAGAAUAUGUUUGUACUUCAUUUAUCAGGGGAUUUGGACUUGAGCUGCAAGUUGGUUCAUUCAACCAGCAUUGGAGAAGAGGCUUUUCAGAGCUCUUCAAGGCUGACUUCUGACAAAGAUGCCUCAGGGUGACAAAGGAGUGUCAACAAAUUUAGUGAGGUGCAUUAGCAACUGCCACUUCCCUGUUUCCUAGAAAAUCUUGGAAGAUUAUAGGUGUGUGUGCCCAAUGGAUGGCAUCUGUGGGCUGUUGUGCUUCACGUUAUGUCAUCACUGAUGUUGCCUAAGGCAAAAAACAAAACAAAAAACAAUCGUAUGGAAAGCCAUGGAAGAGUGCAAGCAAUCGAUUAUGCGAGAUACUAGGUUCUUUGCUGCAUUCAUUGGAAAAAUAUCUCGCUCUCGUGUUCAUGGAGGCAUUGGCUACACAUAGAGAACAUUUUCUUACCGUGUUCAGAAAGUGUUUUAGCGUCCCUUUAUAUGGCGAGUCUAAAAUUUCAGCAGGCGUUUAAUGCUACAUUAGCAAUUAGUGCUCUGUUGCAACAAAUGCAGUUGCUGUGUAUGAUUCAAAUGCUCGAAACAGGCAUGGAGCCCCAGUCAGCUUUGCCUUCUCAAUACGAAACACUGUAUUUGAAGAGUGUCAGUUUGUUUCUUUGCUGUCUGCUGGAAUCAUUUCAAAGUAGUUACUUGUGGCAUGUCUGAUAGAAUGCCCCUUUUUUUUGCCUAGUAUAUGCUAACAGAAGGCUUUUUGAGAAUGUUUUUCACUGGAGCAGUCAUAGGCGUGAAAGCAGCCAGCCAUACCAACAGCUUGGUAGCUAAAUGAAGGAACUCAACUGCUGCUUUAAAAGAUCAGAAUGGGCCCUGCCUUGGAGGACUGUAGUAUUCACAGUGUUGUGUAUGGCGUAGUGCACUUGGUUAUUUUUUUUUCUCAUUUACAUGUCUAUAGCAGAACAUGUUCCAAGUGCAGCUGAACAGCAUGACCAGCCAAAUCGCAUAUACCUCUCGACUAACCAGUAUUAAUGUGAUGUUUUGAUGAGGCCGUGAAAACUACUGGACAUGCAGAAAGACAGUUUUGCUGCAUAAUUCGGCAGGUAGCAUGGUGUCAUAAGAGAGCCAGGAGAAAGUACAACUGAAGCAAAAGUAAUGCACGACUGCCUGCUGCUGGUUUUAGGGCUCUUUCAUAAGCAGAGUGCCAUCUCAAGUUGUGUGUAUUGAAGGGACGGUAUUUUUGUACUACACCAUGCCGUUUUGUAAUGCAUUUCUUUCUUUUUGUACUAAAUGGCAUAUAAGAGCUGGUUGAUACUACCAGCUGCUCUCACAGGGUUAGUGGAUGGGCCGAUUCAGGUUAUCCACUGUUGCACCUUUUAUAUAGUGUGCUGAAGAAGCCCAAAGCAUAGACUUGUGGCUUGAGCAAGUUUCGCUGGAUCGAAACAGCUGAAGCCUUUUUAACUUUCCUCAAGCCCUCUUAAAUCCCAUGAUUCCAGAGUCCCAGGUUUCUUCUUCUUGCUUUUCUUUUGGCCACCUUAUCGUGGAGUUGUGGCACCUAGAUAGCAUGCCUAUGGAAAAGAACCUACCUGAGAUUUUCAUAAUCUCAAGUAGAAACACAGACAUCUUAAGGGGGCGCUUGUUUUGUAUGCUGAACUACAUUCUUUUCUAGUCCAUUGGUUUGGCAUUUUGUGUGUGAAUGCAUGUGUGUGUGUGUUUCCUCUGUUAUUGCACAGUGCCUUUGGCUGGUUGCCAACAUACGCAGGCACAUGGUCAUCAGUCAUUGUAGGAUCAGUCUUAGCUGAGCUAAGCCACUCUGAUUGAGUAAAGUCACCUGACAUGUUCUUUGUGCCUGUUUUUAAAUAAGCUGUUGUUGAGCAUCCGGCAUAUUGUUUGUUGUCUUCUAUGGUUUUCUUUUUCUUCUUUUGUGUCAAUGCACUUGUUUUGAAGACUAUGUCUGCUUCCGUUUUGUGCAAGUCAAGUAUACUGCGCAAAUAAACUACAGAAGUUAGCAUUGCUCUGUAACGCUACUGGCUUUUAAGGUAAAUUGACAGCUCCUUGAAAGAGCACUUGUUCAAGGGUUUGUUUGCACGAACUUAUGUUUUACAGUGCACAAUAAAUGAAUAUAUCACGUGA